CUCAGGUCCGGAAGCUACGUCCCCGGGAGACGAGGGCCCCGCAUCUGAUUCUUGCGCCUGGCUAUCCUCGCAGCGGAGCAAACAGAUGAGCCACGACACAGCCGUGUGGAGCACGUCAGACCCUUCCCUCCGAAAGUCACCAGCAAGGACAGAGGAGAAAGGACUCUGCACACCCACAGAGUGAAAGAGCAACCUUCCCUGCAGACAUAAUCUUUGGCAGCCCAUAAUAUCAGCACUUCCUGCGUUGUGACAGAAGACACCCGGCAGCUCCUCCCAGGAGCUGACCGGGCAGGGCCUGGAGCUUGCUCGCCUCUGGAGCCCUCGUCCACAUCACCCACCGUGUUGUUUGUCACCCGCAUGGAGACCCUGGGCCCUGCGAUCAAGGCACAGCCUGGGUCCAGCCACCACCCUGAGGGCCCCCCCGCCUCAUCCUGGGGUCGCCACCAUGCUGCCGAGGCCCAGAAUGCUUCCGCUGGGGAGUCCUGGGGCACCAGGAGAGACACCGAGGGAGACCAUUGUCAGCACAUCCCGAGUCUGGGAUAUGAGACACAAAGGAACUAACUCACACAGGAAAGUGGAUCUCUAUUAUUUUCUCUUCCAUUUCUUUCACCACCACCCCCCAAUCUGAUGUCGGAUGCUACUGAAACCCAUGUCAGAGUCUAGGAUUUUCAUACAACUGAGAAAAAAAAAUAAGAGUGUUUACCAAAACAUUUACAGCUGUGUGGUAUCAAAAGAGGCCCCGGCUGCCGGAGCGGGGGACUUGGCCCUUUGAUGUGCCAACCGCCGCAAGGAGGACCGGUCCCUAAUGAGGGGCGCAGGGGUGUUGGACAAACACAUCACAAUGACAGGCUGGGAGGGGGCGCGGGGCAGAACCCCCCUUCCUCCUCCCGAUGCAGAGACCCGCCUGCUCCUUCAGCUGUCAUCCAAAGUGCUUUUUUCUUUCUUUUUCUUAUCAGUUUCAUAUUCACAGAAUGAAAUUCCAGACAGGAGGCAAAAUCGAUGCUUCCGAUACGUUGUAGUCCUUAGCUCUAGGAAGGCUGGGAAGAUAACUCUGGGUCCGUAGGAAAGCAUUCAGAGCUGAGCACACCGGCAUCACUGCCGCCCUGCCUACAGCACGGCAAACAGGAGACGCAGGUGGGACAGGAAGAGCUUGGGGUUUUCGGGCCUUAACCCUAUCCAUGUGGAAACUCGAGGUCACAGACCCCUAAGCACUGGGUAUUAUCAACAUAAAAAGUGGAACCCACGGUGAAAAGCUGCUCCUUGUAGUCAGGUGCGGAAGCAGUAGUCCCAGCACUUGGGAGGCGGAG
Molecule: long non-coding RNA, 1307 nt
Organism: Chinchilla lanigera (long-tailed chinchilla)
Lineage: Eukaryota; Metazoa; Chordata; Mammalia; Rodentia; Chinchillidae
Exons: 4
Source: RefSeq, a predicted model, not a curated record